UUACUUAUAAAGCGAUCAAAAUCAUUCUAAUUAUUACGAGAAAAACAGAGAAAAUAUGCCUCAAAUUCUCAUAUUUGUAUAUGCUUUGAUCAUCUUUCUCUCUCUAAUUCUUGUUGCAACUUAUAAGACUGACGUGCCUUGCAAAACUAACGAUGAUUGUCCAGAGGCACCUCAUCCAAUAAUUGUGAAGUGCAUUAAUAGUAUUUGUGAUAUAUCGAGGUUACCGUAUUAAUUAGGUUUAAAAUUAAUUAUGUUAGCUUUUUUAUUUUUUGGCUUUCAUUAUCAGUUGAAUCUGAUUCGGGGGUCAGUUCUGGCAUCAAGUGAUUUCAGCCUCCUCCCGAUCAGAGUUGCGGGGGAUCAAACCGUUUAAUCAAAUAAUUUUAUUUGUAUUUUGUACUUUAAUAAUUUUCUUCAAAAAUUUUGUAAAGAAAACUUCAAAAUUUAUAUGUUUCUCUAACCUUUACUAGUACAUUUUUUAUGACAAACUCAAAGUUGUAUUAUUAUAUCAUCAUCAUGCAAAGAUUCAUAUCUUCAUUUGCUCAUAGAAGAUUUCACAAACAAUGUCACUACUGUAUAAUUAUAAUAAUAUAUUUUAAUAAAUAAAUAUAAUAUCUAAUUAUGUA
This is a long non-coding RNA of Trifolium pratense (red clover), 623 nucleotides long. RefSeq lists it as uncharacterized. The record is from RefSeq and is a predicted model, not a curated record. NCBI's taxonomy places the organism in Eukaryota, Viridiplantae, Streptophyta, Magnoliopsida, Fabales, Fabaceae. The transcript has 2 exons.